GUAUCAUAUUCUAAUUAUUAUGAAGUAAUAAGACAUUUAUUAAACAAUUAAAAAGUUUUAUUAAUUAAUAUAAAAUUUAUGUAUUUAAAAAGUAUUUAUUAAAAAAUAUUACUAAACACCCUAGAAAAUAUAGGGAUAUGUGUGGUGCCUCCUACCCAAGCCACCUGUUUGUUAACACCGCAAGGUAUCCCAGGUAGCUUUGUGCUGGUGGGGGCCUACUCUGGCUAAGCCUGAGUUAAGGCUCAAGAGGAACGAGGACCAGGGCCAGCCGCGAACGAAUCGCUGCCUCCCAGGCCCCCCGGCUCCAGAACCCAUGCCCCAGCCACCCGUUGCCAGGUGGCUGAUACCAAGACCCGGGAAGGUAGGUCCCGUACAAUACGUCACCUCCCAGACAGUCUUGGGUGGAAAUCCAAGGCAGCGGAUAGCCUCCCUACCAUUCUAGCCGGGUAUUCCCCAGACACUAGAACACUUUCGGGAAGAUACCAAGCUUCUACUGCUUUGGAUCCCCUGGGGAUGUACGAUGAUGGCGGACAGCCUCCUCACCUGUUGGAAGCUGCCAAGCUUCUACCACCAGCGCUCCCCCCGCCUGGAGUUUACUGUGUCGAGGGCAGUCAAGCCUUCUAAAGUGUCGUAAUUCACUAUCAGAGUGGGCCAGACCCCUGACAGGUUUUUUAUUUUUUCUUGUAGAGGAGAUUGUGUCCUUUUUAACGCAAAAAACCGCGAGUUUCUAUCUUUUAUAGUUUUAAAGUUAUUAACGUUUAAAGUUGACAAGAAUUCGUGGCCCAUAAUUCUGCAGGAUCUACCAUCUUCUAAAGAUCCAGCAUUUGACAGUAAAAUGUGAGGUUUAAGUUAUGUUUAGGGUUAGGUUUAGGUUAUGUUUAGGUUUAGAUUUAGGUUAUGUUUAAGGUAAGGUUUAGGUUAUGUUUAGGUUUAGGUUAGGGUUAGGUUUAAGUUAUGUUUAGGGUUAGGUUUAGGUUAUGUUUAGGUUUAGAUUUAGGUUAUGUUUAAGGUAAGGUUUAGGUUAUGUUUAGGUUUAGGUUAGGGUUAGGUUUAAGUUAUGUUUAGGGUUAGGUUUAGGUUAUGUUUAGGUUUAGAUUUAGGUUAUGUUUAAGGUAAGGUUUAGGUUAUGUUUAGG
Molecule: long non-coding RNA, 1135 nt
Organism: Astyanax mexicanus (Mexican tetra)
Lineage: Eukaryota; Metazoa; Chordata; Actinopteri; Characiformes; Acestrorhamphidae
Exons: 3
Source: RefSeq, a predicted model, not a curated record